This is a long non-coding RNA of Rhincodon typus (whale shark), 379 nucleotides long. RefSeq lists it as uncharacterized. The record is from RefSeq and is a predicted model, not a curated record. The transcript has 4 exons. NCBI's taxonomy places the organism in Eukaryota, Metazoa, Chordata, Chondrichthyes, Orectolobiformes, Rhincodontidae.
GCCGGGAUUGAGUGGUCCUCCCCGGAACUGGAAAGGGAUCGGGAUUGCAGUGUUGGUGAUCAGCCUCAUCUUCUCCCUGGUCAUCUUGUCCAUCAUUCUGCUGACUCCAGAGGACACCGAGCCCAGUUCCCAAGGGAAGCUGUCACUGGAUGAUCUCGGCACUCCAGAAUUCCAAAUUCUCCGUGCCCAGACACAGUGGGUCAGCGGGGACGAGUUGGUCAUUCGAGCUCGGGAUGGUCGCCUGGUGAAGCAGAACGUGACGAGCCAAGAGACCGUGACCUUGGUUGAAAACAGCACCUUUGUCAGGCUACAGGCCACCCGAUACCAGGUAUCAGCAGACUUGAACUAUGUGCUGCUGGCCUCCAAUGUUACCCAGGUA